AAAACGACUCUCGGCAACGGAUAUCUCGGCUCUCGCAUCGAUGAAGAACGUAGCGAAAUGCGAUACUUGGUGUGAAUUACAGAAUCCCGUGAACCAUCGAGUCUUUGAACGCAAGUUGCGCCCGAAGCUUUCGGGCUGAGGGCACGUCUGCCUGGG
This 156-nucleotide ribosomal RNA is filed under the name Nitraria sphaerocarpa. RNAcentral's name for it is "5.8S ribosomal RNA". It matches the Rfam family "5.8S ribosomal RNA". Rfam says of the family: 5.8S ribosomal RNA (5.8S rRNA) is a component of the large subunit of the eukaryotic ribosome. It is transcribed by RNA polymerase I as part of the 45S precursor that also contains 18S and 28S rRNA. Functionally, it is thought that 5.8S rRNA may be involved in ribosome translocation. Lineage: Eukaryota; Viridiplantae; Streptophyta; Magnoliopsida; Sapindales; Nitrariaceae. The record is from RNAcentral.